UCCACUCUCAGUCAACAGAAGUCACCUCUUAGCAGCCUUUCGGUGGCACGUCACCGAUGACAAACAGCUACGAUGAUUAUGAUUGGUAGAGUUGGUAGUGGCGUGGUGGUGGUGGUCCUCUCUUCUUACCUGUCUGCGUCUCCGCCUCCCUCUCCACUCUCAACUGCCUCCUCUCCACUCUCAGCAACCUUUCGUUAGUACAUCACCAACGAUAAAACAUUUGAAACCACUUUCUCCACUUUAUGUACUGUUGCAACGACAUACAACUGCAACGAAUGGAGCUAUCGAGACAUGAUUUUUGGGGGUGAUUGGGCUGCUGACGAUACACAGUUGCUUAGGGUUUAGUUGUUUUUUUCUGUUGGUGAUUAUUGGUUGAUGAUGGUUGAGGCGGUGGUGUGGUGGUAGUGGUUUUGGAUCUAUAGUUUACAUCGAUUUGGUUACUUUUGUGGUUCGCUUUUGGUUAUUUUAGUUUUGUGGCGGUGGUGGUUGCGGUUGCGAUGGUGUGCAGUGCGAUGAUGGUGUGCAAUUCAUAUUUUCUUUUUCCAAAUUUUCUGCUGCGUUGACGGUGGUUCGAUGGAGGUAGUUGUGACAAGGGUGCGGUGGUAGUACAAGUGGUUGAUAGUAGUAAGGCAUUGGCUUUGGUUGUUGAAGUGGUGGUGGUGGCGGCGGCAGCUUCCAUACUUUGGAGGUAGCGAGGGCGAUAAUGGUGAUACUGAUGGUGGUUGUGUUGGUGGUUAUAAGUGGGAUGAGAUGGGGUUGGAUGCUCAUGACCAAUUAUUUGAUUGAUUGUAACUAAUAAUUGGUUAAUUUGUAAUAUGUGACUUAAAAAUUGUGAUUGUGACUCACAAUUGAUUAAGUUGUGAUUGGAAAAUUGAUCGUGA
RNAcentral lists this long non-coding RNA (881 nucleotides) under Olea europaea subsp. europaea. Lineage: Eukaryota; Viridiplantae; Streptophyta; Magnoliopsida; Lamiales; Oleaceae. The record is from RNAcentral.